UGAAAAACCAAAAAACAACGGAGAAGAUGCGACAAUCCACGUUCUGAAACGAAACAAUUUUCAAACCACAAAUACAAUACCUACACAAAAAUACAACAAAACGUAAGUUUAAUCAUCUAAAACAAUAAAAAAUGCAUCAAACCAAUCCAAAAACACAAAAAAAAAAAAAACGAAAAAACUCUAGUGACCAAAGCCCAAGUUGAUCAGAUACAAACAUUGACGAUGAAAAAUGAGGAAGGAAACUCUUCUACAACAAAGAUGGCGACACAACAGAGGCGCGAGGAAGCAACGAAAACUCUCGCGACGUAGGGAAGAAGAAGUUGCAGAAAGAAUUGUUUACGUAUGGAAGAAGAAGAAAAUUGUUCGCGUUUUCACGAAAUUUUAACCCUAGUAGGGGCUCUACUGCCUCAGUUCUACCAGGAACAAAAGCCUAUACUCCACA
RNAcentral lists this long non-coding RNA (442 nucleotides) under Vigna radiata. RNAcentral describes it as "long non-coding RNA (VRAD_LNC001690)". The record is from RNAcentral. Lineage: Eukaryota; Viridiplantae; Streptophyta; Magnoliopsida; Fabales; Fabaceae.